UGUUAAAAACUUCAUCCAUUUGUAUGGUUAAGAAUUAGUAUCAGAAAACCUGACAAUGACACAUGUCGUGCCAUGUAUACUUCAUGUUGACAUAUAAAAAUUAGUUUUUAAUAAUAGAAAUAGAUGAUUCUUUUUUAAAUA
This 141-nucleotide microRNA precursor is filed under the name Gossypium hirsutum (cotton). Its description in RNAcentral is "MIR7502 microRNA precursor family". It matches the Rfam family "MIR7502 microRNA precursor family". Lineage: Eukaryota; Viridiplantae; Streptophyta; Magnoliopsida; Malvales; Malvaceae. The record is from Rfam by way of RNAcentral.